This 1549-nucleotide ribosomal RNA is filed under the name Klebsiella planticola. Its description in RNAcentral is "bacterial SSU rRNA". It matches the Rfam family "Bacterial small subunit ribosomal RNA". Lineage: Bacteria; Pseudomonadati; Pseudomonadota; Gammaproteobacteria; Enterobacterales; Enterobacteriaceae. The record is from RNAcentral.
AAAUUGAAGAGUUUGAUCAUGGCUCAGAUUGAACGCUGGCGGCAGGCCUAACACAUGCAAGUCGAGCGGUAGCACAGAGAGCUUGCUCUCGGGUGACGAGCGGCGGACGGGUGAGUAAUGUCUGGGAAACUGCCUGAUGGAGGGGGAUAACUACUGGAAACGGUAGCUAAUACCGCAUAACGUCGCAAGACCAAAGUGGGGGACCUUCGGGCCUCAUGCCAUCAGAUGUGCCCAGAUGGGAUUAGCUAGUAGGUGGGGUAAUGGCUCACCUAGGCGACGAUCCCUAGCUGGUCUGAGAGGAUGACCAGCCACACUGGAACUGAGACACGGUCCAGACUCCUACGGGAGGCAGCAGUGGGGAAUAUUGCACAAUGGGCGCAAGCCUGAUGCAGCCAUGCCGCGUGUAUGAAGAAGGCCUUCGGGUUGUAAAGUACUUUCAGCGAGGAGGAAGGCAUUAAGGUUAAUAACCUUGGUGAUUGACGUUACUCGCAGAAGAAGCACCGGCUAACUCCGUGCCAGCAGCCGCGGUAAUACGGAGGGUGCAAGCGUUAAUCGGAAUUACUGGGCGUAAAGCGCACGCAGGCGGUUUGUUAAGUCAGAUGUGAAAUCCCCGGGCUCAACCUGGGAACUGCAUUUGAAACUGGCAAGCUUGAGUCUUGUAGAGGGGGUAGAAUUCCAGGUGUAGCGGUGAAAUGCGUAGAGAUCUGGAGGAAUACCGGUGGCGAAGGCGGCCCCCUGGACAAAGACUGACGCUCAGGUGCGAAAGCGUGGGGAGCAAACAGGAUUAGAUACCCUGGUAGUCCACGCUGUAAACGAUGUCGACUUGGAGGUUGUUCCCUUGAGGAGUGGCUUCCGGAGCUAACGCGUUAAGUCGACCGCCUGGGGAGUACGGCCGCAAGGUUAAAACUCAAAUGAAUUGACGGGGGCCCGCACAAGCGGUGGAGCAUGUGGUUUAAUUCGAUGCAACGCGAAGAACCUUACCUACUCUUGACAUCCAGAGAACUUAGCAGAGAUGCUUUGGUGCCUUCGGGAACUCUGAGACAGGUGCUGCAUGGCUGUCGUCAGCUCGUGUUGUGAAAUGUUGGGUUAAGUCCCGCAACGAGCGCAACCCUUAUCCUUUGUUGCCAGCGGUCCGGCCGGGAACUCAAAGGAGACUGCCAGUGAUAAACUGGAGGAAGGUGGGGAUGACGUCAAGUCAUCAUGGCCCUUACGAGUAGGGCUACACACGUGCUACAAUGGCAUAUACAAAGAGAAGCGACCUCGCGAGAGCAAGCGGACCUCAUAAAGUAUGUCGUAGUCCGGAUUGGAGUCUGCAACUCGACUCCAUGAAGUCGGAAUCGCUAGUAAUCGUAGAUCAGAAUGCUACGGUGAAUACGUUCCCGGGCCUUGUACACACCGCCCGUCACACCAUGGGAGUGGGUUGCAAAAGAAGUAGGUAGCUUAACCUUCGGGAGGGCGCUUACCACUUUGUGAUUCAUGACUGGGGUGAAGUCGUAACAAGGUAACCGUAGGGGAACCUGCGGUUGGAUCACCUCCUUACCUGAAAGAA